This 448-nucleotide ribosomal RNA is filed under the name Cytophaga sp. RNAcentral's name for it is "bacterial SSU rRNA". It matches the Rfam family "Bacterial small subunit ribosomal RNA", at positions 9 to 453 of the family's 1533-position model. Lineage: Bacteria; Pseudomonadati; Bacteroidota; Cytophagia; Cytophagales; Cytophagaceae. The record is from RNAcentral.
GAGUUUGAUUAUGGCUCAGGAUGAACGCUAGCGGCAGGCUUAAUACAUGCAAGUCGUGGGGCAGCGCGGGUAGCAAUAUCUGGCGGCGACCGGCAAACGGGUGCGUAAUACGUACGCAACCUUCCUUUGAGCGGGGAAUAGCCCAGGGAAACUUGGAUUAAUACCCCAUAACAUGAUGAAGAGGCAUCUCUUUAUUAUUAAAGCUCCGGCACUCGAAGAUGGGCGUACGGCUGAUUAGGUAGUUGGCGGGGUAAUAGCCCACCAAGCCGACGAUCAGUAGCUGAUGUGAGAGCAUGAUCAGCCACACGGGUACUGAGACACGGACCCGACUCCUACGGGAGGCAGCAGUAAGGAAUAUUGGUCAAUGGACGGAAGUCUGAACCAGCCAUCCCGCGUGCAGGAAGAAGGUCCUAUGGAUUGUAAACUGCUUUUAGCAGAGACGAAACGC